AGCCAUCCUUUAAAGAAAGCGUAACAGCUCACUGGUCUAAAUAAGGGUUCUUGCGCCGAAAAUGUAACGGGGCUAAAGCCAUGCACCGAAACUGAGGGCACUAUUUAUAGUGCGGUAGCAGAGCGUUCUGUAAGCCUGCGAAGGGAUACUCGUGAGAGAUCCUGGAGGUAUCAGAAGUGCAAAUGUUGACAUGAGUAACGAUAAAGAGGGUGAGAGACCCUCUCGCCGAAAGACCAAGGGUUCCUGCGCAACGCUAAUCGGCGCAGGGUGAGUCGGCCCCUAAGGCGAGGCUGAGAAGCGUAGUCGAUGGGAAACAGGUUAAUAUUCCUGUACUUCUUUAUAUUGCGAUGGGGAGACGGAGAAAGCUAGGCCAGCAUGGCGAUGGUAGUCCAUGUUUAAGGUUGUAGGCUGAGAGUUUAGGUAAAUCCGGACUCUUAAGGCUGAGAACUGAUGACGAGAUCCUACGGGAUUGAAGUGGUUGAUGCUCUGCUUCCAGGAAAAACCUCUAAGCUUCAGAUAUAAAGAAACCGUACCCCAAACCGACACAGGUGGUCAG
RNAcentral lists this ribosomal RNA (556 nucleotides) under Striatella unipunctata. Its description in RNAcentral is "partial Bacterial large subunit ribosomal RNA". It matches the Rfam family "Bacterial large subunit ribosomal RNA", at positions 1114 to 1670 of the family's 2925-position model. Lineage: Eukaryota; Bacillariophyta; Striatellaphyceae; Striatellales; Striatellaceae. The record is from RNAcentral.